Molecule: ribosomal RNA, 492 nt
Filed under: uncultured bacterium
Lineage: Bacteria
Description: partial 16S ribosomal RNA
Rfam family: Bacterial small subunit ribosomal RNA
Source: RNAcentral
AGUGAACGCUGGCGGUAGGCCUAACACAUGCAAGUCGAACGGCAGCACAGUAAGAGCUUGCUCUUACGGGUGGCGAGUGGCGUACGGGUGAGGAAUACAUCGGAAUCUACUUUUUCGUGUGUGAUAACGUAGGGAAACUUACGCUAAUACCGCAUACGACCUACGGGUGAAAGCAGUGGAUCUUCGGACCUUGCGCGUUUGAAUGAGCCGAUGUCGGUUUAGCUAGUUGGCGGGGUAAAGUCCCACCAAGGCGACGAUGCGUAGCUUGUCUGAGAGGAUGAUCAGACAAAAGGGAACAGAGACACGGAAAAGAGGCCUACGGGAGGAAGCAGUGGGGAAUAUUGGACAAUGGGCGCAAGCCUGAUCAAGCAAUACCGAGUGGGUGAAGAAGGCCUUCGGGUUGUAAAGCCGUUUUGUUGGGAAAGAAAAGCAGCAGGUUAAUACCCCGAUGUUCUGACGGUACCAAAAGAAUAAGCACCGGCUAACUUCGUG